RNAcentral lists this ribosomal RNA (505 nucleotides) under uncultured bacterium. RNAcentral describes it as "partial 16S ribosomal RNA". It matches the Rfam family "Bacterial small subunit ribosomal RNA", at positions 28 to 507 of the family's 1533-position model. The record is from RNAcentral.
GACGAACGCUGGCGGCGUGCCUAAUACAUGCAAGUAGAACGCACAGUUUAUACCGUAGCUUGCUACACCAUAAACUGUGAGUUGCGAACGGGUGAGUAACGCGUAGGUAACCUGCCUGGUAGCGGGGGAUAACUAUUGGAAACGAUAGCUAAUACCGCAUAAUAUUGAUUAUUGCAUGAUAAUUGAUUGAAAGAUGCUAUUGCAUCACUACCAGAUGGACCUGCGUUGUAUUAGCUAGUAGGUGAGGUAACGGCUCACCUAGGCGACGAUACAUAGCCGACCUGAGAGGGUGAUCGGCCACACUGGGACUGAGACACGGCCCAGACUCCUACGGGAGGCAGCAGUAGGGAAUCUUCGGCAAUGGACGAAAGUCUGACCGAGCAACGCCGCGUGAGUGAAGAAGGUUUUCGGAUCGUAAAGCUCUGUUGUAAGAGAAGAACGGGGGUGAGAGUGGAAAGUUCACACUGUGACGGUAUCUUACCAGAAAGGGACGGCUAACUACGUG